This 497-nucleotide ribosomal RNA is filed under the name uncultured bacterium. Its description in RNAcentral is "partial 16S ribosomal RNA". It matches the Rfam family "Bacterial small subunit ribosomal RNA", at positions 28 to 507 of the family's 1533-position model. The record is from RNAcentral.
GAUGAACGCUGGCGGCGUGCCUAAUACAUGCAAGUCGAGCGAACGGACGAGAAGCUUGCUUCUCUGAUGUUAGCGGCGGACGGGUGAGUAACACGUGGAUAGCCUACCUAUAAGACUGGGAUAACUUCGGGAAACCGGAGCUAAUACCGGAUAAUAUUUUGAACCGCAUGGUUCAAAAGUGAAAGACGGUCUUGCUGUCACUUAUAGAUGGAUCCGCGCUGCAUUAGCUAGUUGGUAAGGUAACGGCUUACCAAGGCAACGAUGCAUAGCCGACCUGAGAGGGUGAUCGGCCACACUGGAACUGAGACACGGUCCAGACUCCCACGGGAGGCAGCAGUAGGGAAUCUUCCGCAAUGGGCGAAAGCCUGACGGAGCAACGCCGCGUGAGUGAUGAAGGUCUUCGGAUCGUAAAACUCUGUUAUUAGGGAAGAACAUAUGUGUAAGUAACUGUGCACAUCUUGACGGUACCUAAUCAGAAAGCCACGGCUAACUACGUG